Molecule: RNA transcript, 1513 nt
Organism: Ziziphus jujuba (common jujube)
Lineage: Eukaryota; Viridiplantae; Streptophyta; Magnoliopsida; Rosales; Rhamnaceae
Exons: 5
Source: RefSeq, a predicted model, not a curated record
UUUCGAUAAAUAGCCACCAUACAACUCUAUUUUAGAAAAAUAGCAAAUUUUUUUAUUUUUUUAAAAACUAACCAAUAUUUUACCCAUUUGGACUAAAGUACCCUUAUCUAUAUAUAUAUAUAUAUAUUUUUUUUUGUUCUUUUCUCUAUCAAAACGCAGGGCCAUGUAUAAGGGUUUCAGUUUUUUUUUUUUUACUUUCCCUUUGAAAACGCAGCUAGGGCAUUUCAAAAAUUACCAUCCCGGCCACCAUUUUCACCGACAUUCGUCUCCCAUUCGCCGGCAUCGUCCUCGUCCAUUGUAACAUAGCAUCCUUAUAAGUGCUCAAUCGUUUUCUCCCAUAUUCUGUUUUGGGCAUGUGCUAGGCGUACACUAUGGAGUUGGAAGCAGAGGUUGCAAAGUUGAAAGAAGAGAACCAGGAAUUGAAGAAAAAGCAGGCAGAAAUGCUAGAAAUGCAGAAGAAUCAGAUUCAGUUCAAUUCAACCAUGUCCAAUUCUUAAUGCUCGCUAUCUUAAGCAGAUUCUAUUUUCCUUAUGGCAAUGGAGAUGAUGAAUGUGCAGCGGGGAGUAAAGAAACGGUGCUUGAGACGAACGCAGACUGGUCCAUGGUGAAGCAUGAAAGGAUUGUGAUUUCUGUGGUUGAAAAUUAUGGCACUCAGGCUGUAAAUAUCUUUUAAGGCAAAUGCGUUUUUCUGGUGUAGAUCAAGAGAGGUUUAGUGUGCUGUAGAUUAAACCUUCCUUAAUAUUUUACUUGCUAGCUUUGUACAUUUAUUUAUAUUAUUAUUUUUCAUUUUUUUAUACAUUUUCUUACUCUUGCAUGAUGAAAUAGUACUCUAGGUACCCAUAUGUCAUUAUCUGCUGGCAAAUUGUGCAUUAUUGAAGUUCUAAAGAAACAAGUGGCAGAAGACAGGGGAGCCAUACAUAUAUGCAUUGGAGGAGCAAGUGAUGGACUGAGCAGAAAAUUGAAGCACAAAAUUUGCGAUCGUGGAGUUACAAGUGCAAGCUGAUAAAAUUACACAUACACUCACAGAGAUAGAUAAAGAGAGAGACAUAUAUAUAAAUAGAUAGAGAAGCAUUGGUGGUGGUUUGUCCCCCAUUAAUGUAAGUUGCUUCUCUGUACAACAUAGAAAAUAUUUUGCAAACUAAUUUCGCUUUAAUGUAACGAACUUAUAUGAAAACCUUUAGUUGUGCUGUAUUGAAUGAGUUUUACAAUUUUGAACUUUGUCAUUAUGCGCUAUGCUUAUAAUAUUGUUUUAUUUGGUGUGACAGAAAUGUUUGUGUUGCAUGGUUAGAAUGUGAAAUGUGAAAUUAAAACUAUUGUGAAGUUGUGUUUUUGUUUGAAUUUAAUGGGAGGUUUGAAUGUGAAACCAUAAUAUAUCUAUAGGUUAUCUUUACGAAGCAAUGUAUAAUGUACACUACUAAUGUAUAAUGUAUUAUGCGCUGGUUUGAAAAUCCCGUUAGGUGUAUGUUAUUUUGGUUCUGGAAAAUUUUCCACCCCGAGGAAAAUAUUUUCUCUU